RNAcentral lists this unclassified non-coding RNA (338 nucleotides) under Hevea brasiliensis (rubber tree). Lineage: Eukaryota; Viridiplantae; Streptophyta; Magnoliopsida; Malpighiales; Euphorbiaceae. The record is from RNAcentral.
GGCAAAACAAAUAUAAUCACAAGCGGAUUCCUGAGUCUAUAAAUAGCCAACUCAGAAGCUUUAACAAGCAAAGUAUGAGUGAGCUCAAACUUAGCUCGUUCAUUAAACAGGCCACUUCAACUUUGGCUUGUUCAUCUUCUUUGCAGUCAUUAUCAUCCUCAUGAUUCUUCGUUUAUUUUUUCUUGCCUGAGAAUGAAAUGUCUCAAGUUUGGAAGCAACGUAGGUUCUGGAACCUGAGUAUCAUCCCUUACCUUGCAGAUGGUCUAGAAUUACUUGUGUCUUACUUUUGUCUUUGUAAUUUUGUUCUCCUAUUCUUUUGUUUCUUGUUCAUUCUUGGC